This is a long non-coding RNA of Homo sapiens (human), 3591 nucleotides long. NCBI's taxonomy places the organism in Eukaryota, Metazoa, Chordata, Mammalia, Primates, Hominidae. The record is from Ensembl.
UGGGCAAGGUGGGUCCGUCCCCUAACUCGGACCUUAUAAAGCGCGCCCGCUGCUCCCACAAAGCCGGGCUGUCCCAGGCUGAGGCGGUUGCUCCCCUGCCGGGUGUGUUAGAAGCAAGUUAGAGGAAGAAGGUCUUGGGGACUACGGGCGCCACCGAGAACCCAUACGAGGCAGCCGCCGACGGCGGGUCGCCGGGGCGGGGCCAGAACGGCGCCAAGGCCAACCAGAACGGCGGCAAGAACUAGGGGGACGCGGGGCAGGUGCUGUGGGAGUUGGCUGGACCUGUGGGAUCGACGUCUGCGCCGUCCAGGAGCCGCCCAGGGGAGAGAGCGGAGACUCGGGAGGAGGAUGUGCGCUCCGACCCGGGCAAGGCUUCCCAUCCCUCCCUUCCUCUUCUCUCCUUCCCUCCACCUGGGCUCGGAGUCAGGAUCUGACCGCGGGCUCUGCCCAGGAAGACCGAGUUCCUUGAGAGCGACACCUAAGCGCCGGGGAAGACAGGGAUAGAAGAGACGACAGCCCUUUGAUAAGAGGGUUUUUAGACUAACUUCCACCUGUGACGAGUGCAUGGGGCCUGCGCCCUGAGAGGUUGCCUUUCCUUUUCCUCUCCCACCCUGGGGGUUUGUGGUGAUGUUAAGUUCUGUUAGGACCAAGGUGGAUCUCAGUAAGGAGGUAGAGUAGAUUUGUGAACAGCUGUCGGAGGUAGAAUCUUUGCAGACCCAGAGUGGGUGGGUGUAGACACUUUGCCAUGGGUGGUAGCUUUAUUUGUAAUCCUCCCAGUGAAAGCUUUGGGAAAUCCAGCCCUCCCAAACUCUUGCCUUUCUUGUAAGACUUUCUAAGCGCAUGGCUUUGUCGUAAGACUUCUCGUGGCCAUGUGUCUCACCCUACCGUUCGUCUCACCAAUGAACCAGAGCUGGGAUACCAGCAAAAAGGACCCAAAAGACUGUUUCACCACAAUUGAAGAGGUCGUGGACCAUCCCCCAAAAUGAAUCCCAACACUGGAAGACCAAGAGGGUUGACGUUUGCUAUCUUGAAAGCUGCAGCCCCCGUAGAGAAGAUCCUAGAGCAGAAGGAGCACAGGCUGGGCUGCCAUAGCAUGGACCCCCAAAAAGCCACUGUCAUGAAGAAAUAUCCUGUGAAGAAAAUCUUUGCAGGGCACCUGAACUCCCAAAGCCACUGAGGAGAAGAUGGAGGCCAUUGAACUUUCAGUGGAUCCAAAGUCUAACAAAAGACAAUGUCUUGUUUUCGUCACCCCCCAAAGAAGAGGAACCUGUGAGAAAUAUUCUGGAGAAAUUUAACACCAUCAGUGGAAGCAAGGUGAGGAGUCUCUACCUCCAUGUGCCUCCCCUCCUGCCUCUGGAGAGGUAGCCCUUUGGUUAAUGGCAACCCAAUAGGGUAACCAACCAUCCCAUUUUAGCAUUGAGAGCAUUGUGUCCUGGGAGACCCUUCCCUGGAAUGUAAAUAAUCCUGGUUUUAGCAACAAAGUGUGGAAGGUUGGAGGAAAUGCACAAAACCCGUAAGUUUUAGAGGGUCUGAAAGCAACAUUGUCUAUCAAAUGGAUACGGCACAGAUUAUUCAUCUUUACUUGUUGUCACCCAUUUGACCACUGAUACUGGCAACCAUAAUUUGUAGUUCAGAAUGGUCAUCCAUCCAUCGUUGCAUCAUUCAAAGUGAUGUGGCUUAAGUGUAUAUAAUGAUUAUUAAUAGUUCAUCUUCGACUUUGCCUGUGGAUUAAUUGGUGUGCUUUGUAACAAGAUAGUGCUAGUUUAAUUUUUUAACAUUGUGAAUAUUGUGACCAUGUUUUCUAAGAGGUCAGAUAAUGAGAAUGGUUAUAAUACCAAUGCAACCAUGACCCCAUCACUGAAGAAGAAGGCUAAACGACUAUGUAAUUUUGAUGAUGGAUGGAAGGACACAUACUACUGAACUAGGAAGGUAAAUAACCAAAACAGAGCAUACUACAUAAUAUACAGAAAAAAAUUUGAGAUUGGACAUGGUGGAGAAGGGGAUGUGCAAGCACAUAUGGAGGGCAAAUCUCACAAGUAAGAUGGGACAGGUGAAUGCUUCUAAACCAAUCAAAAAUACCUUUGUUUCCCCAAAAGACACCAAUGCUCAGUCAAAAAUAGCAGCUGCUGAAUUAGCAUGGGCAUACCAGGCAAAUAAGCCUGCAUUGUCAUAGCGUUCCCUUGAUUGCUCUAUGAAACUGAGUAAAGUUUCAUUUCCUGAUUCAAGAAUUGCAGCUAAAAUAUCCUCUGGACAAAGAAGAAGGGAAAUUUUUUGAUAACAGAUGUGUUGGCUCCUUACAGUAUAAAGCCAAUUUCUGUCAUAUCUCACCAACAAUCCUGGUUUCUACAGUACAUCAAUUUUAAGUAAUAUGCCAAAUCAUGGCAGCAAAAAUAUGUUCCCUCUAGCUGUUAGGUACUUUGACUUGAAAACAGGAGUUUCAAAUCAUCUUCUUCAUUUCUGUGAGGAUUUUAAUGAAACUGCUGAAAUCAUAAAAUAUUGUUGAUAUUUUGUCUAAAUACAAACUAGACUUAGCUCAUCUAUCUGUGUAUUCGUCAGACAGUAUAGAUGUAAAAUUUUGGCAAAUUGCAUUCAGUCUACAAACUUCUUACCAAAGAAAAUGAAAAGAUCUUAUCCAUUCAAUGCCUUGUACAUCUUAUAUACAACACUGCUAAAAAGGGAUGUGAGUUGCUUAAAUGUGACAUUGAGACUUUCAUAAUGAAAGCUUUUGGUUACUUUUCAAUUUCCUCAAAAAGUGCAAAAGCACUUAUGGAGAUUUUUGACUUCACAGAAAUGGAAGGUAACCUCUUUAGACGUGUGCCUGCAAGAUGGCUGUCAUUGUAAGUGAGCCAUAGAAACGAUGCUAAAAUGUUGGCCUGCCAUAAGAUCAUAUUUUCAAAGGACAAGAAUAAUGUCCUUUGACAUUGUUUGAAAUCUGAAAGGAGAAAAAAAUCAAGAAUCUGAAGUGGGCCUUAAAAAAAUCAGUAAGUCCCUUGUGACUCUGAUUUUUAUGAAUCUGUCUCUCAAAAGCCAGGGUGCCCCCAGAAGAACUGAGACAAACUGAGUUUCUGAACAUUUGAAAAUGAGGAGCAGGCUCAGGAUCCACAGGGUGUAACCAUCCCGUGAGGCCCUGCCUGAGCAGCCAGCCAGUCAGUGAGGCUCUUCACCUUACUUCCAUUUCUCUGAUUCCAUCUAUGUACAACUUACGAAAACUUGCAUUAUUAUAGACUGGGAGUUCUUAAAUUGGAAUCUGUGAAUCUAAAGGGGCCAGAGGAUAGAAAUCAGGAAAUCUGAAAACUUCGAUGGAAAAAAGUUUUUAUUUAUUUCCAUCAGGAAAAUAGGCAACAAACCACAGCAGUAUUAGUACCUGUGUCUCUGUCAUCACUAGGAAUCACAGAUAUCCACGUUACAGAUAUCUUAAAAUAUUUAUGUACAGCACCACUCUGAAAUUAUGGUAAUAAUUAGAUCCACCCCCUAGGUCUUGUAAUCUUUAAUAUGUUAAUAAAGAAGCACAUCUAUUAUGUGACAGAUUUAAAUGUUUAAGAAUUUGAUUUCAAUGAAAUUGCAUUUCAAUAAAAUUGGCUUCCUUUGCAA